Neodiprion virginianus is the source of this 3516-nucleotide long non-coding RNA. RefSeq lists it as uncharacterized. NCBI's taxonomy places the organism in Eukaryota, Metazoa, Arthropoda, Insecta, Hymenoptera, Diprionidae. The record is from RefSeq and is a predicted model, not a curated record. The transcript has 2 exons.
GUACGUGAAGCAUCUGAACUUGGAACACAAAAUUAGAAACAGAGACAAACAGGAGAAAGCAUAAUUACGCGGUACUUUUGUUGAUGAAACUGAAAAUGGAACGUAUCGCUCUACCAGGUGGAAAAAGGUGAGGUUUGACUGUCAAACAGCGCUGCAGAGCUUCCAGCAAGAUCUUCAAUCAUAAUUUUCCUGAACGAGAGGAGGGGAGCUGAGGACCCUGAGAGGCACAAGGGCUUGUAUUCGGAAAGCAGAUAUGGUUAUGAAAGCCCUGUCAAUAACCAAACCCUGUUCGAAAAAGCACAGUCAAUCAUCGAUCCAAUCCAUAUAUAUUGGAGGCUAGAGGAGAAUUCGUUCGUACCCCCAUCCCUCGAAUAUUACCGAAUAUUACCCGAUAUUGCCGCCCGAGGGGUAGACGUUUAUUAAAAUAAUGAUAUACCCCCAGGGUUAUGAGCGAUAUCAAAUCUCGUUCCUUAUCCGCCCAGUUAGUAGAAACGCCGAUCAGCAACACACUCCAUUUAUCGAUGGACUUCUGUGAAGAUCAAAUGUUUUGCAAGGAAUUUCAAUAAAAAAUAAUGAUUCGAGCAACACUCAGUAAUGGAAGUCAACUUUAUUCAUCUCCAAACCGCAUCCCUUCCAGCUACUUAUUGUUAGUCAAAUUCGGAGGCUUCGUUAGCAUGGGCUUCGUUGCCAUCCGGCUUCAUGAACGUUAAGUACAAAAAAUAAUUCGCAGCACUCAAAGUCGACCUAAUGGUAUGUCUGACCCAAGAGACGCAAUGGUCUUUCUAACCGUUGAUCCAUAACGUGGGUUCCAGAGAUCGAUCAGAAUUCAUACUGCGUCUGGAACAAGGUCCAAUUACCAUGGCCGGACCAGCAACCAAACAAUUAUAUCAAACUUGAUGGAAAUGUUUCCAGCCCAGAACUCAUCUCGUCGAUUUCAGACAGUGUCGCAGACAAGUACUAAGAUCCAAGUGGCGGACUUACAAUUAGACAACCAAAGCCUGGGUGGUUUAUAUGUUCUUGUCAACCAGGCUACCACACAAGGUUUUGGGCGUUGCUAGGUGACUCCUGUCGUGACGGAAACCGUAGGGUGUCUCUAACUUCGAGUUUCCGAAAGAAGCGUUUCUUUUAACGAGUCAUCUCUAUUGUAAUUCGGAGAAAAAUAUUAGCUUGUUUUUAAGAUUGCUGAGGUGAUUCAAAGCUUGCACUAUACUGUACAGUAUUGGGAAUCGUACUCACUCUCAACAAUCCAUAGCCAAGAAUACAUCCGAUGCAGUGUCCUGGUAUGAAAAUACCCAUUGUGGAAAUAGUCGUUUUGCCAAAUACCACAGCAGCUAUCGUCACUGAUGGAUUAACAUGACGACCACUGAUGUGCUCAUAGAACUGCAAACAUCGAAACGACACCGUCCGAUUUUUCUCGCCAAAUUAUCCAAAACGUGACAAUUCUGCAUUUUAUACAUUCCAUUGCAGUGAACAAGUAAGAAGAAAGGCAUAAAUGGUGGGAAAAAAUCGAAAACUCCAAACUGUAAGAGCAACGACGAUGGAAAAACUGAAGAUAAUGGAAACUUGCAUACGGAGGGUGUGCUUGACAGCGCGCCAAAUCAGCUUCAGGAGUUUCGAGGAUUUCGCCAGUGAACAUCAUAGCACUCUCGAGUGGGUACCUACGUAGUUUUCGUGGAACACGUAAUUUUUGUGGAACAGGAAAUGAUCUGCGGUUGUCAGCAACACUGAUACUAUAAAUACAGCAGACAUAGAUGCAGAAAAAAAGCAAUCAUCAAAACAGCGCUUCCACGAUUUACAGAGCGCAGAUUCGAUCUAAAAUCGGAAAGUAGUCAACUCGUCAUAUUGCUGAAGAGGGAUUCAAAAUCACUAUUAUACUGGUAUGCAUGAAUUAUUCUUUCAAUUAUAUUUUCGUAUCACAUAUUCGGACAUUGUUUUUUAUUUGUUUCCUAACCUUGACAAAAUCUUAAUAUUAAAAUCACGUAUCUCGUUCUAGAACCUUUCUAGGUUCCCGAGUCGAAAUUUUAUAACCCUGUUAAGAGGCUUCUUAACACUCUAUUGCUUCACAACUCGGAUUUGACUCGAAUUUGUAUCUCAUUAACGUUUUUCAGAUCCUCACAGCUCACUACGACACUUCAAUAGAACCUCGAAUCUGCGGAACUCAAGAAAAUAAAACUCAAGCAUUAGUUUUAGAGAUCUAAACCAGGAAUAUUGCAACUGCGACUUACGAGGAUCGAAUAAGAACCAAUUUGGAUCUCACUAAAGCCCCUGACAUGGACACCAGGCCUUACGAUUAGCACAAUUUUAAGGUUCAUUGAAAUAUUUUUUACUCGGAAUUUUCCGUAAAUUUUCUUGAGGUCCUAAUGAGGUCUAAAAUUUCGUCUCGGGUUAUCUGUUAACCGUGCAAUAUUAUACUUAUGCCAAUUCUACAUUAAAGUAUAAAAUUUCCCAAUGAGCAUAGGCUUAGAUUAAAUAUAUAUAAUAUAAUGUAAGUGUCUCGAUAUCUUGUAGAAGAACUUCGAAUUGCAUUACUGGGUAUGAUUCGAAUCAAACGCAAGUGCUGAGCGAGUGAAUAGAGUGUCAGGAACUAGGACCAAACAGCGGGUGAAAAAUUUCACCCACCGAUUAUCGAAUGCCAUCGUCAGUCAACUCCUGCUCUCAUUGUCAAACACUCCUUCUACUUAUCACGACAUAUUUCAAAAUCGUACCUUUCGUUUCACACUUUCGGGAAUAAGACACCGUUUGUUGCAGUACAUACUAAUCAUAUUAAUAGUAUCACUAAUGUCGAUUUAUUAUAAUAAUAAUCACCUAUACAGUCAUCACAUUAUGAAAUUCAUGCACCGUCGUCGAGAAUAUCUAGUACCAGAACGUUCAUCCAAUACCCCUAAAUUUUUUUUUCAACUCUAAAGAAAUGUUCAAAAUUAUAAUAAUAAUCGUUGUUUUAACGAUAGUUGUAGCAUUGGUAUUUAAUAUUGACAAUGGUAUAAUAAUAACACCAACACCAACAGUAUUAUUGAUAGUAAUUAUCAUAACAGUUAUAAUAUCUUUCUACGCUACGCAAUUCUAAUCACUGUUGCACCAGUAAGUAAUAAUAACAUUACAGUAAUUAACAGUUCCUGGACGUGAUAAUGGUAUAAUAAUAUUAAUAACAUAGGUAUAGCGAUACAUGAAGUACGUAUAGUGGUUUGAAUUUUUAGUUUGUCAAUAAUAAAAUUACAUACAGUGGGGCACGUAUGUGCUUGGUCUACAUAAGAUUACUGGGAUGAUGGAAAAAAAAGAAAGAUAUUACGUAAUCCCUUUCACUUUUACAACCAAUAACCAUUGAUUUCUCGAAUCAACUUUUGAAAAGAAUUUACAAUUGAGAAGCAUUGGAGCGACACGAUUCACACGAUACUGGUUACCUUGUUUAACACCCAGCUGUACUAAUAUAUGUCAGUACAUUUGUUUUAAAUAAAAUAUAUAUGUAUCUGAUACGUGUAAAUUUAGAUAUGUACAGCUUUGGUUACUUUAUUUACAGAA